Molecule: non-coding RNA, 855 nt
Organism: Biomphalaria pfeifferi
Lineage: Eukaryota; Metazoa; Mollusca; Gastropoda; Planorbidae
Source: the annotation of a GenBank genome assembly
AUAAUUUGUUUGAUUUAUUGAAUGUCAAUUUCUCAAUCAUGAAACAUUGAACAAAUAAAUGUAAAUCACCAAUCAAUAACCUACAUCCAAAUGAUAAGAUCUUCAAUGCCUUGUAUAAGAGUCAUCUAUAGCUUGUUUUUAUUUAAUUUGCAAUAUUUAAUUAUUUUUUAGAGCUAGAUUAAUUGAAUAAGAAAGUUGGGCAGUGUUUAAGAUUCGAAUGGCUAGUAAUCCCAGGAACCAUGCUAACAGGGAAGCAAUGGAUGUCAUGUCCUGUUCCUAUGGCACUGCUAUAUUGUUUAAGUUGUUCUUAGUGACUAAGGUUACAUUAAGUUUGUAGGAUGGAGACCUUUUCAAGAAGUUUUUUUUAAAGACAAACUUUUUUUUCUGUCUCUAAGUUCUCAGGAAUUUCAAUCCUCCCCACCUCUUCCAUUCCAUACACACACACACUUGUACAAUUAAUUGUAGUUAUUACGCUCGUAUUCCAAAGUCUGUACUUUAUAAUAUGGUCACUUACUUUCUAUGUUUUUUAUAUAACUUUAGAAUCCAACUAAAUUUUACGUCUCAUAUAUAGGCCAGCGUGAUGAGUUUUUCUACGCUUUGUCAGAUAUUUGUGUUACUUUUGUUCAGAUGUCUAAGAAAAUCUCUCUCCCACAGUCGAUACAAUCAGCGUCUCUUAAGGUAAAGACUCAACACCACACCUUCACUAGAUCUACAUGUAAAAGUGAGUUAGUCAGGCCUGCAUACAUUACAGAGACAUUAACAUUGGAAGAAAAAUAGAAUAAAAGUGUCUCUACCUGGUAAUAUGAGAACCUCUUCAGAAUCCUUCUAUCCUUUCAACAUUCUCCUUUAUUCCCC